Molecule: ribosomal RNA, 484 nt
Filed under: uncultured bacterium
Lineage: Bacteria
Description: partial 16S ribosomal RNA
Rfam family: Bacterial small subunit ribosomal RNA
Source: RNAcentral
AGUGAACGCUGGCGGCAGGCCUAACACAUGCAAGUCGAGCGGCAGCGCGGGGGCAACCCUGGCGGCGAGCGGCGGACGGGUGAGGAAUUCGUCGGAAUCUGCCUUUUUGUGGGGGAUAACGUAGGGAAACUUACGCUAAUACCGCAUACGUCCUACGGGAGAAAGUGGGGGACCGCAAGGCCUCACGCAGAAAGAUGAGCCGACGACCGAUUAGCUAGUUGGUGGGGUAAAGGCCCACCAAGGCGACGAUCGGUAGCUGGUCUGAGAGGAUGAUCAGCCACACUGGAACUGAGACACGGCCCAGACUCCUACGGGAGGCCGCAGUGGGGAAUAUUGGACAAUGGGCGCAAGCCUGAUCCAGCCAUGCCGCGUGUGUGAAGAAGGCCUUCGGGUUGUAAAGCACUUUUGUCCGGAAAGAAAUCCCUGGAGCUAAUACCUUCGGGGGAUGACGGUACCGGAAGAAUAAGCACCGGCUAACUUCGUG